CAAUAGCGUAUAUUAUUGAUGUUGCAGUUGAAACGUUCGUAGUCGAAUCUUAUCUGCCAAAGCAUUGUGUCAUUUAUGAUGACAUAAUGCUCUCGGCAGAGAUUGUACAAGCGUUUGCAUGUGUUUCACAUGUCUGACCUUGUAUCUUACUUUGAGUGAAUCGCCUUGAACGAUUUACCAUAGCAUAAUCAGAGUAUGGAACUGCUUCCUUGUUUGUUCGGAAGCUCUUUCGAUACUGCUAGGAACGGUUGAGGGCAUCCGUAUUCGACUGCUAGAGGUGAAAUUCUUUGAUUAGUCGAGGACGAACCAUUGCGAAAGCAUCUGCCAAGGACGUUUCCUUUGA
RNAcentral lists this ribosomal RNA (343 nucleotides) under uncultured eukaryote. Its description in RNAcentral is "partial 18S ribosomal RNA". It matches the Rfam family "Eukaryotic small subunit ribosomal RNA", at positions 592 to 976 of the family's 1831-position model. The record is from RNAcentral.